Molecule: ribosomal RNA, 449 nt
Filed under: uncultured Eubacteriales bacterium
Lineage: Bacteria; Bacillati; Bacillota; Clostridia; Eubacteriales
Description: bacterial SSU rRNA
Rfam family: Bacterial small subunit ribosomal RNA
Source: RNAcentral
GUACUAACGGAACUUAACCCUUCGUUUUACGACUUGGGUAGGCGGUUAGUGGUCGGACUAGGUGAGUAACACGUAAGCAACCUGCCUAUUAGAGGGGAAGUAACAGUAGAGAAAUCAUUGCUAAUACCGCAUAUGCUCACAGUAUCACAUGAUACAGUGAGGAAAGGAGCAAUCCACUAAUAGAUGGGCUUGCGUCUGAUUAGCUAGUUGGUGGGGUAACGGCCUACCAAGGCGACGAUCAGUAGCCGGACUGAGAGGUUGAACGGCCACAUUGGGACUGAGAUACGGCCCAGACUCCUACGGGAGGCAGCAGUCGGGAAUAUUGCGCAAUGGAGGAAACUCUGACGCAGUGACGCCGCGUAUAGGAAGAAGGUUUUCGGAUUGUAAACUAUUGUCGUUAGGGAAGAUAAAAGACAGUACCUAAGGAGGAAGCUCCGGCUAACUAUGCG